Molecule: long non-coding RNA, 1695 nt
Organism: Oryctolagus cuniculus (rabbit)
Lineage: Eukaryota; Metazoa; Chordata; Mammalia; Lagomorpha; Leporidae
Source: Ensembl
GGCUGCAGAUGGGCCCUGUGGGGACAAACAGAGCUCCAGGAGAAGGAGAAUGGAAAAAGAUCCAGGUCCCAUUUCCCAGAAAGCGGAACAGGCACCCUGCAAGUCACCUCCAACGCCCGGCAGGGACCGCCCCCAGGGUGCCCACAGCCCACCAGGCAGGGCCCAGGAAAGGAAGACCUGCCCCGCCCACUGCUCCUCUGGGUCUGUCUCCACUACCCGCCACCAGCCAGCCCUCACCUACCCGAAUCACGGCCGCCAUCAUUGCCACCCACCCUCUGGAGUUCAGCCCCGUGCAAAGCCCUGCCCGUCCGUCGUGUGCACAGCAGACCUGCUCUCUGGCUGUCCCCCAUCGUCCUGAGCCCUGGUCUGCCCCCAGGGGCCAUCGAUGAAAGACUAGCACGCGGCCUGGAGUCGGCUGGCCUGGAACUGCCUCGCACCCGGGCCCAGCAGGGCCCCUGGAAGAAAGGCAGCCAGGCAGGAAGCGGCUGCGUGGGCCAGAAAACGACAGAAUUCGCACAGAACGGCCCAAAUUGCCCACUCGUGCUUCCUAACAGUUGUUCUAUUUGUGCAUGUUCUUUUUUUUUUUUUUCCAUUUCAGGAGAAAAAAAAACAACCCAUAUAUUUCCUGUAAUUUUUUACUUAAAAAGGGAAAAAGGUAAAAGAAGCAGACGGAAAACAGGGCUGGAAAUGAAACCUCAGCAGGCGGCUCGGAGGGCCUGGGGGCGCGGAGGAGCCAUGCAGAACGUCCCAGACACUCUGGCCACGGCGGGCAGGGCAGAGGGCGAGGCAGGUGGCCGCCUGGACCAGCCCCCAGGCUGGCCCGCUGGGGGCAGGAGACCUCCGAGACGGGAGGCCCUGCCACCUGCUGGGAUUGCUCUCCAAGCUUCUUCAUGGCCAUGGCCGCAGACCGUGGGUGCCCUUGGCAGUGUGGGUGGGUUCGCCUGGUUAGAGUCGCAUCCCAGUGACUCGGGGGCUUUGGGGUGCAUCAUCUGCCCCACUGCUGCUGGGGUCUUACACGAGGCCCUUUAGCUGACCAAGGAGUGGAUGCUCUCUGGUCAGGAUGAACCUACCAGCAGUGUCCUCCCGGGAGUGUCCUUCCGGGAGUGCUCCAGACCGAGUGCAGUGAGGGGCGCAGCCAGUGCAAGCUGUGUGCCAGGGGACCCACCCCCAGGCGGAGACCAGGGCUGGGGGCAGGGCGUCAGGGAAACAGGCUCGCCCUGGAGUGUUGACAGAAUCACAGCCUCUCCAACUGGGCGUCCCAGUCCCCAGAGCCUGCAAAGUGUCCGCUCAGCCGGUGCCAUGGCUCAAUAGGCUAAUCCUCCGCCUUGCGGCGCUGGCACACCAGGUUCUAGUCCCGGUCGGGGCGCCGGAUUCUGUCCCAGUUGCUCCUCUUCCAGGCCAGCUCUCUGCUGUGGCCCGGGAGUGCAGUGGAGGAUGGCCCAAGUCCUUGGGCCCUGCACCCCGUGGGAGACCAGGAGAAGCACCUGGCUCCUGCCUCGGGAUCAGCACAGGUGCCGGCCGCAGCGCGCCGGCCGCAGCGGCCAUUGGAGGGUGAACCAACAGCAAAAGGAAGACCUUUCUCUCUGUCUCUCUCUCUCACUGUCCACUCUGCCUAUAAAAAAAAAAAAAAAAAGUGUCCGCUCACAGGCAAAAGGGCCUUUGCAGAUGUGACUAACUUAGAGGACUCGAGAUGGG